This 353-nucleotide long non-coding RNA is filed under the name Physcomitrium patens. RNAcentral's name for it is "long non-coding RNA (PPAT_LNC004362)". Lineage: Eukaryota; Viridiplantae; Streptophyta; Bryopsida; Funariales; Funariaceae. The record is from RNAcentral.
AUUCUAUUAGACUUACUAGGAUUAUUCUUGCAUUUCUACUUAUCUUUCAUAGCUAGGUGCCCAAUGCGUUUUUAAGUAAGAACACAUGUAUUAUAACAACAUUGUCCUAUAUUGUGACAAAAUUUAUAUUGUUAUAGAUUGAAAAGGUCUUAGAUCUUAGAGAUAGUUUACUCUUAUUUCAACCUCAAAUUCUUGAUUAUUAUCCACUUCUAUAUGAAGAUGUGAUAUUUUUUUUUUUUUUUUAAGAUAUUUAACAUCUUAUAUGGCUCAAGAAGAGACAUAUAGAAUAAAAAAUAGAUCUUCAUAGACUCUAAUAGAUAUAAUGAAUAAGCAAUAUAAAUGACAUAUUUAUA